Molecule: long non-coding RNA, 1521 nt
Filed under: Hordeum vulgare
Lineage: Eukaryota; Viridiplantae; Streptophyta; Magnoliopsida; Poales; Poaceae
Description: long non-coding RNA (HVUL_LNC018051)
Source: RNAcentral
GAAAAAAAAGUAUAAUCCUGGCUGCAGCUAAAUGUUCAAGCUCCAGUCGUAAGGCUGAUACGAGACCUUCAGUUGAGUGUUUGCAAGCAGCUCCAAGAAUUGCUCCGAUGCUGCAGGCUCGAGAUAAUUUGCUGCAUGCUUCAGCACUUCUGUCUCAUUCUUACCAAAGUCUGUGUUGUACCUGGAAACAAUCCAGAACAUGAGUUUUUGAGCUGCAUCUCAUUUUACCAGGAUCUGUGUACUUGUACCUUACAAUCAUUUGGAGCAUGGGUUUCCAAGCUUAAGAUAUUGAAAGCAUUGCCAUAUUGUAAUGAGAUUUUACAUUAUAAAGUGAUACUCAUCUUCUCAAUUAUUUGCUACUGUUAUGAUUUUAUCACAGUGCAUAUCAGGUAAAAUUAACCAAGUUAAUAUUUGGGCAUGCACUCUAGUUAUAUAACUGUAUAACAAAUGUAUGAUCAUCUGCAAUUCUGUCAUGUAGUAACACGGUAACGCAUUUGUUAUUAUCUCACACAGGAUAAAUGGUCAUCACAUCAUCAAUGUACUCAUUAAAACCACAUUCCCUUAAUUUGUUUGGCAUUGUGCCGUUCAACUUGUAUUUCUAGCGACCGGACUAAAUGCGGCAUAACCACCUGCACAUGCCAUCAUGGCCUUCAAAUUAUUGGAUAAAGCGUUCUCAAUAAGUAUGUCUUAGUUAUUCUUCAUUAGUUAUAUAACCCUAACAGGGCAAAGCACACAGUUCAUAUCCAUAAAAAUUAGCAGCAUCCUGCUAUAUUCAGUUGAAAUACACGCAAAGUAAUCAUAAGGCCACAUGAGUGUUAAUGCACGACGUGGCUAAGGGCCAGUUCUUUGGGCAAAGCACACAGUUCUAGAAUAAGCUGGAAUAAGCUACCCCCUACCCAGCUUAUUCUAGAAGCCCAAUCAAAUUUAUUUUUUUAGAAGUCUACUAAUUAAGACUUGACUAGUAGGCUUCUAAAAAAAAAUAUUUUUGGUUGGGCUUCUAGAAUAAGCUGCCCCCUACCCAGCUUAUUCUAGAAGCUCAAAAAAGCCACCAAAAGAACUGGCCCUAAAUGGGGUUGAUCAACUAUUGUGACACAUAUUUGGAUAGGAGUAUUAGCGUUACUUUGGGCUAUAUGGCAAAAAUGAUAUGGUCUUUAACAAAUAAACUAAGAUUAAUUUUUUGCAGGUAAUCUACAAGGCCACUACUUGGAUCCGUAUGUGGUCAUUACUCACUCCUGCGGAAGCCAGCAUUUGGUUACUGGGUCUACCCAAUGGGAGAUGGUAGCUCGGAAUAUCUACAACCGGUUUGAAUGACGGUGCAGUAAUAGGCUAGGUGUUUAGUCAUCUCGUCCUAUUUCUGCCGGUUGUGGCAUUUUACAUCUUUAUGUUUUCAUUUGUUUUCAUUUUAGUUCGGACAGAAUUUGUACUUGACCACAAAGAUUGUUGGAUCUUUUGCUUAAUAUAAUAUGGCUGCAGCAUCAUUCUGAUGCAGAGGCCGGGGGAUAUCCUCCUUAUCCAAAAAAA